This 575-nucleotide ribosomal RNA is filed under the name uncultured bacterium. Its description in RNAcentral is "partial 16S ribosomal RNA". It matches the Rfam family "Bacterial small subunit ribosomal RNA", at positions 355 to 924 of the family's 1533-position model. The record is from RNAcentral.
UGGGGAAUUUUGGACAAUGGGGGAAACCCUGAUCCAGCCAUCCCGCGUGUGCGAUGAAGGCCUUCGGGUUGUAAAGCACUUUUGGCAGGAAAGAAACGUCGCGGGUUAAUACCCCGCGGAACUGACGGUACCUGCAGAAUAAGCACCGGCUAACUACGUGCCAGCAGCCGCGGUAAUACGUAGGGUGCAAGCGUUAAUCGGAAUUACUGGGCGUAAAGCGUGCGCAGGCGGUUCGGAAAGAAAGAUGUGAAAUCCCAGAGCUUAACUUUGGAACUGCAUUUUUAACUACCGGGCUAGAGUGUGUCAGAGGGAGGUGGAAUUCCGCGUGUAGCAGUGAAAUGCGUAGAUAUGCGGAGGAACACCGAUGGCGAAGGCAGCCUCCUGGGAUAACACUGACGCUCAUGCACGAAAGCGUGGGGAGCAAACAGGAUUAGAUACCCUGGUAGUCCACGCCCUAAACGAUGUCAACUAGCUGUUGGGGUCUUCGGACCUUGUAGCGCAGCUAACGCGUGAAGUUGACCGCCUGGGGAGUACGGUCGCAAGAUUAAAACUUAAAUGAAUUGACGGGGUCAUAG